UAAUACGUAGGUGACAAGCGUUAUCCGGAAUUACUGGGCGUAAAGCGCACGCAGGCGGCUGCUUAAGUCUGACGUGAAAUCUCCUGGCUUAACUGGGAGGGGUCGUUGGAAACUGAGUAGCUUGAGGCAGUGAGAGGGGUGUAGAAUUCCCGGUGUAGUGGUGGAAUGCGUAGAUAUCGGGAGGAAUACCAGAGGCGAAGGCGACACCCUGGCACUGACCUGACGCUCAUGUGCGAAAGCGUGGGGAGCGAACGGGAUUAGAUACCCCGGUAGUCCACGCUGUAAACGAUGAGUACUAGGUGUAGGUGGAGUGAAAUCCGUCUGUGCCGAAGCAAACGCGCUAAGUACUCCGCCUGGGGAGUACGGCCGCAAGGCUAAAACUCAAAUGAAUUGACGG
This 397-nucleotide ribosomal RNA is filed under the name uncultured bacterium. RNAcentral describes it as "bacterial SSU rRNA". It matches the Rfam family "Bacterial small subunit ribosomal RNA", at positions 521 to 916 of the family's 1533-position model. The record is from RNAcentral.